CCAACCAAUCUGAGACGUUUGGGAAAACACAGAAAGUUAACCGCUCAAUAGUAUUUUGUUUUUGCGUAUUUAAAUCUGGAAAUUCCAGUCCAGUGUUUACGGAGAAGCAAAGAGCAUUUGCAUACAGACUUGCACAAAUUAAAUCAAACAACGGUUAUACUAACUUUUUAAAAUUCCAAUCGCUAAGGCGUGGAAAGGAAAAGGUUACUUUUAUAUAUUAUUCUUAAACAAGGCCCUUGAUGACCCAAAUACUUUUUGAUAAUGGAAAAGUUUUGUCAGCUAGUGUAAUUUAAUCAUGAAUGACAUGUAACUUUAAUUUAUGGAUGACGACUUAGCGAAG
Molecule: long non-coding RNA, 340 nt
Organism: Drosophila subpulchrella
Lineage: Eukaryota; Metazoa; Arthropoda; Insecta; Diptera; Drosophilidae
Exons: 4
Source: RefSeq, a predicted model, not a curated record